GCUUUGGGUUCCUUUGGAUUCUCUAGUACUGAACUCUUACCUCGCUCCUCCCUCAGGGCCCAGACUAGGUGACAACAUUUGAGUGAAGGAGAAUAUUGGGGGGAGGUGAGUGCAAUGAAGAAAACAAUAACGGGGGAGUGACUUUCUCACCCGCGUGAGCCAGUGAUGACAGUGGCCACAGGCUAACAUCAUACAGGUCAGGCUACCACUCUUGAGCGCAGUUAAUUACGCCCACGCACUUACCCCUAGUUGUUGUUCCUUGUUGGAAUCUACCACUUUCGUUGGAAAGAAGAUUCUACAUUAUUACUCUGCCUUCUUUGACCCUUCAGCCACCUCAAGGGAACAGUAGGAUCAACUGCCCAGCUUCUGAUGAGACACUCAUAGCCUGCCAUGGUCUUACACACCGGGGUUGACAUUUGUCUUUAAACAGUACAUCAAAGGCGUGGUCACUUGCAGUCACUUGUUUUACAAGAGAGCAGCCUGCAAAACUCCUAGACCAGGGCUUUCCAAAGACUUCGGUUCACCAACCACACGAGGGAACCAUCAUAAUAUUUGUGAAGAUACUUGCUCCUAAUGCUGAGCAGAUGCACAUCGUUAAUCACUUGAAAGAGAGCCCAACAGAAGGGAAGAGAACUGUGGGGGAGGAAAGUGCCAGGAGAGCCCUUGGGGACGCACACGUCGUGGCAGAUCUAAACUUCAGCGUGCUUGACGCUGUCAGUAACCUGAUGGUUUUGGGGUGGCCCAGAACUGCGCACUUAACAGUUCUGUAAAGGACACUUCCAAGCUUUCCACGGUGCUAGGAAACCCAACAGCUGGCCCGGCAUUUCCCUGUGCUGACAGCUGACACCUCCCUGCCUGUGGAGUCACACUGGGUCAGGAUAACAUUGUGGAUGGUGGGGAAGAGGAUGGAAAGCUUCCUGCCGGGUUUGUUGAUGCAGGUGCAGCCACCGCUGCGCAGAAGCCCAGACGCAAACACAGCCUCGGGGAUGUGAGGGAAUCCUGCCCGGAUACUACCAACGAAAUGGUGCAGACGUGCGCCGUCACAGCACGGCCCCUCGCUUGACAAUUGUGAUGGAAUAGGAAAAGUGGUGGGGGGUGUCUUAUAGUGCACUUGAAAGGCAACACUUUAUAGUACAUAGAAUGAAUUGUUCAAGUAAAAAUAUUUUAGCUCCAUCCAGCCCAAUUACAAAUUCUGUCACUUGAUGAUAGGUACUCUCGAUCUUGACUCAAAGAUGAAAUACUCACCAUUGAAUUAUUCAGAUAUCCAUGGUUUCUAGACAAACACGUUGUUGUUUUUAUUUUUCAUUUAUUUAUUUUUUUAUUUUUCAUUUUCUAAAGUCAGAAGCUAUACUCUCAUGCCAUGUUUCAAACAGAUGGGCAUCGGGCUAUUCCAAAGGCUUUUUCCUGAACCUCCAGCUUCACUUCUACAUGGGCACCAACUGUAACUGGGGUGGGUUGACUUGUUUUUAGCAAUAAUUCCAACAAAAAGCAGGGGAAUUUUUAAAAGUGAGACGAUGAGGAUAUCUGAGUGUUGAUAUCUGCAUUAACAGCUGAACUAGUGACUAAGUCUAAAUUUUCAAAAUUUCUGUGAAGGUAUUUAUUCUUUUCUGUGCGGUUCAGAUAAAGCCAUGACACUCUAAGCAUCACACAUUCUUUUGAUGUGCUCUGCAGCUGUCAACUGCUGGGUGCCCAGGGUUUUAUCAGAAGCCAGAGCAGCGGCUUCUGAAACACUCUCCUGCUUUGAAUGUCUUUUGAAUGAUCGCUUUCUGUGAACUAUCACGAUGCUAUUUUUUUUAAAAUGUAGGGUAAGAGAGAAGAGCAACAGUGGAGAAAUUUCACUAAUGAGUAAUUACUGCAGUGCUGCAGAGAGGUUUCACACUGUUGGGUAGAGUGCCACCACGUGUGCAUGCACACACGCCUGUGCCUGCACACAUGUGUGCACCUCUGCUGGGGGAAGGCGGUGCAUUUUGUUGUGACUUUGCUCCUAUGCUCAGUUUCCUGUAGCUGUGCUUUGUGGAGGGAAAUCCUGCCAGAAUUGACAAGGAAGCUGCAUUUCUGCAGUUCCACAGGCCCUUUCUUGUCACAGAUCGUAUUCUUCCAGGAAGAACUGGAAGCUAUUGAUUCCACUUAGGAGGGUUUGCAUGCACUGGGCUCCCUGGUCCCUGAGCCCAGCUCAGCCUCCAGAAGCUCACAUCCCCACCAGGGAGGAAUGAAGGAAGCACAGCUGGCCCAGAAGAGGUGCGGAUCACUUCCUUUGUCCUCUUUACUUCUUUGGCUUGUCUCUCACUCGCUCUAGAUUGUAAGCUCCUGGUUGUAAGAGUUCUUGCCUGUUUUGUUCACUGCUGUACCACCUGCACCAAGAACAUCUUCUGGCACCUAUUAAGCCUUCAGUACACAUUUGUUGAAUUGAAUUGACUCCUCCCAUUUACUCUUCAUCCCCAAAGAGGUUCCCCUGCAUAAACUGUCAUGGACCUUAUGGUGGCCCCAGUUUUCAUAGGGGACUUACCUAUCUGUGAUAUCUUUUUUAGACAGGAACUCCAAGUAAAGUUGUUACAAAAUAUACUAUAUAAAAAUUCCUUUUAAACUCACAUAUUCUCUGAGUUCUUUUGGUGCACACCUGAAAGUGUACAUGGUCUUGAGAUCCCCCAAACAUAGACUAGCACUAGGGCCCCUCAGAGCUGGCAAAGGUGUGUCUGAUGACUCAGGCAUUUUGGCUCAAGGCUGUGGAUGUGUGCUCAGGUUGCAGAAAUACAGAGGGGGCUGGAAUUAACCUCUCCCUGUGGGUAGAGCCUUUGUCCCCGUCUCCCAGUGGGUUUUCUCCCUGGUGGUCUGGCCUGAUCCGUGUGGAGGCCUCAUUUGCCUGCACACUGGGCCUGUCACCUUAACAGGGGGCUGAGCUGCGUCUUUGUUGCUGUCCCCGAGGAAAGGGAAGGGGCAAAGCAAGCAUUUGCCGCAGUGCCUAGACAUCAGACCAGAGGUGCCGGAGCCCCGUCUUGGGCUUUCUCAGGGUCAGGUGGCUUUCAGGCAGUCCUACUUGCCCAGCCUCAUGGAAGGAAGAGGCAGGGGGCUCAGCUUCCACUCUCCCAUUCCAUCCAGAGGCCCCCCCUAGCUCUGUGGCUCACAAGUGCCCUAGCUUUCGACCCUCAGAGGAAGAAAUCAUCUAGGAAAGAAUGUGGGAAGCCAAUCUCUUCCUCCCGCUCCUUCUCUAUUUUUUUAUGUGGUAAGUUGUGGGUGGAUGAUUCUCAGGGCUGUCAGCAAAGAGAGCCCUUCAGCUCUCUCUGCAGACCCAUAUUCCCCCAUAUUUUCUCCUGCCUUCAGUUAACCCAGUGGGCACAAUAGCCAGUGUCAAGGUCACCUGUUGUCCCCCUCAGGAGAGAAUGUCUUUACCAACCACUGCUGUUGGUCCAAAGCAACCUUCAGGGGCGUUAACAAACUAAGUCAUACUAAAUUUUUUCAGAGUUUAGUUGAGCAAAAAUCGAUUUGAAUCACGUAGCACCCCAUCUAGCAGGUAGAAAGGGUCUCCAAGGAGCUGUACAAAAUGAAAGACUUUUAUAGGCAGAAGGGAGCCAGACCAAGGAAAUUACAUUAGGCGAAAAAGUGGAUUGGUUUUUGCAAGGUUACUUGUCUUUAGUGGGUGGCAGGGGUCUGUCAGGCAGAUUACCUAACUAGUGCUGAUCAGAGAUUCCUGAUGGAUUCGUUUAAGAUUCCACUUCUGGAAGAGCCAAAACUCUAAUUCAGUAAAGUCUCGAUUUGGUGGGUAUGAGCUUAGCAUAAGCAAGUCCAUUUUAAGUCUAUUGUCUUAUUUUUAACAGGGGAUAUCUGAGGAUAUUAUUAAAGGCCCUCAGAUCUUGCCCGUAGAAACUUCUGAAAUGUAUCAAGGCAGGAUAAUUAAAUUUAAUCUCAAGGUCACAAUAGAAACCACCUCUUCUGUCUCCUCUUUUAUCGACCUUAAACUUCAUCAGUGUUAACAUGAUGUGUCCUAUGGAACAGCAUAAUCUAGGUAAUACAGAGCCAGCAACAGAAAAUUCUGCACAUUUCUAGGUACUGCUUUUGCCAUAGUCUACAAAUUUUGAUGUGUGGUAUUUUUAUUAUUGGUUAGUUCUAAAUGUUUUAUAAUUUUCACUAUAAUUUCUUCUGGGACCCAAGAGUUAUUUAGAGGAAUGUUUAUUUCUAAACACUUCAGGCUUUUCUAAUUAUCUUUUUUUGUAUUGACUUUUAACUUGAUUGAAUUGUGAUUAGACAAAAUCUGGAUAAUCCAGUGCAUUGAAAAGUUGAGACUUGCUUUAUGCCUAAGUAUAGGAUCCAUUUUUGUAAAUGUUCUGUAAGGUUUUUAGAAGAUUGUAAUUUCUCUUGUUGAGUUUUCUAUAUGUCCAUCAAAUAAGAUUUGUUGAUUGUAUUUAAUCUUAUAUAAUCUAUUUGGUUUUGGUUUUCUUGAAAUAUAAAUUACUAAGGGGGAAAUGUUAAAAUUCUCUCAGUAUGGUGUUGAAUUUAUCUGUUUCUCCUUGCAGCCUAAUAGUAUUUAGAUGCAUAUAGGUUUAGAAUUAGUUUAGUUACCUAGCGAUUUGAAUUUAAAAUCUUCUUUUCAAGUAAUGCUUUUUUGCUUAAAUUCUUUUAUUUCUAAUAUUGACAUUUAUUUAUUCUAGCUUUCUUUUGUUAAUAUUCCAUCCACAUUCCCCCACCUUUUUUUACUUUAAACUUUUCUGCACCCUUACGUGUCUUGAAUAAAGUAUAUAACUGAAGUUUUUAAAUGACUUCUGAUAACACCAAAAGUAGGAACAAAAAUUUGUUUUUUAAAUGGUAAAAAAUGGACUUGGUCAAAAUUUAAAACUUCUGCUCUCCAAAGAGAUCGUUAAAAACAUAAAAAGACAAGCCACAGACUGAGAGAUAAUAUUUGUAAAGAAUAUAUCUGUUAAAGAACUUAUGGCCAGAAUGUAAAAUGAACUCUUACAACUCAAUGAGAAGACAAUCUAAUUAAAAUAAUAGGCAGAAAUGGGCAAGAAUUAGUCAUUAGGGAAAUGCAAAUGAAAACUCUAAUGAGAUAUCAUUAUACACUCACUCGACUGGCUGAAAUUAAAAAGACUGAGAAUUCUAAGAGUUGGUGAGGAUAAUGAGAAAUGGGAAUCACCUCACAUUGCUGGUAGAA
Long non-coding RNA from Camelus dromedarius (Arabian camel), 5143 nucleotides. RefSeq lists it as uncharacterized. The transcript has 4 exons. The record is from RefSeq and is a predicted model, not a curated record. NCBI's taxonomy places the organism in Eukaryota, Metazoa, Chordata, Mammalia, Artiodactyla, Camelidae.